AACGAACGCUGGCGGCAGGCUUAACACAUGCAAGUCGAACGAAGUCUUCGGACUUAGUGGCGCACGGGUGAGUAACACGUGGGAAUAUACCUCUUGGUGGGGAAUAACAUCGGGAAACUGAUGCUAAAUACCGCAUACGGCCUCGGGGAAGAUUAUCGCCGAGAGAUUAGCCCGCGUCCGAUUAGCUAGUUGGUGAGGUAAUGGCUCACCAAGGCGACGAUCGGUAGCUGGUCUGAGAGGAUGAUCAGCCACACUGGGACUGAGACACGGCCCAGACUCCUACGGGAGGCAGCAGUGGGGAAGUAAUUGGGACAAUGGGCGAAAGCCUGAUCCAGCCAUGCCGCGUGAGUGAUGAAGGCC
RNAcentral lists this ribosomal RNA (360 nucleotides) under uncultured bacterium. RNAcentral describes it as "bacterial SSU rRNA". It matches the Rfam family "Bacterial small subunit ribosomal RNA", at positions 29 to 416 of the family's 1533-position model. The record is from RNAcentral.